CUAUGCGCCUUGCCACGCCCGCUCAGAAACUUAAAGGAAUUGACGGGGCCCGCACAAGCGGAGGAGCAUGUGGUUUAAUUCGAUGAUACGCGAGGAACCUUACCUGGGCUUAAAUGCUUAAUGACGUACUGGGAAACUGGUAUUUCUUCGGACAUUUUGCAAGGUGCUGCAUGGUUGUCGUCAGCUCGUGCCGUGAGGUGUCGGGUUAAGUCCCAUAACGAGCGCAACCCCUAUUGUUAGUUGCCAUCAGGUCAUGCUGGGGACUCUAACAAAACUGCCCGCGUAAGCGUGGAGGAAGGUGGGGAUGACGUCAAAUCAGCACGGCCCUUACGUCCAGGGCUACACACGUGCUACAAUGGCCGGUACAGAGGGCAGCCACUUGGUGACAAGGAGCAAAUCUCAAAAGCCGGUCUCAGUUCGGAUCGGAGUCUGCAACUCGACUCCGUGAAGUUGGAUUCGCUAGUAAUCGUAGAUCAGCAAUGCUACGGUGAAUACGUUCCCGGGCCUU
Molecule: ribosomal RNA, 508 nt
Filed under: uncultured Bacteroidota bacterium
Lineage: Bacteria; Pseudomonadati; Bacteroidota
Description: bacterial SSU rRNA
Rfam family: Bacterial small subunit ribosomal RNA
Source: RNAcentral